GGCCUACAAUGAACCCGCCGAUUGGCCUCAGCUGUGGCCGCGCUGCCUUGUGAGGUAAGGCCGGGGGGCGGGGAAAUACAGCCUUCCUUCCGGCCCAGAAAGCCAAGAGGAGGAAGUGGGUUGAAGCCGGUGGAUCUCGCGAGAAUUUACGCAGAGUCCCGCUAGGCUCGAAUGGCGGUGUUUCUUACAGGGUGACGGGCACGGGUCGUUGUCUUUUCCGUCCCUUCUCUGUGGAUGAAAUGGACAUCUGAGGGUCUGCGACGCGCGGCUAGGCACUGAGGCCGGGACCUGCGUUUGAAUUGCGCCUGAGAAGCCUCAAGAAAGUGCCUCGAGGCUUCACAGCUGACGAAGUGCUGUGGCCUGCGUGCGUCACGGCUGCGCGGACUCAGACUAUCGGCCGGAGUGUCCGGAUUAGGGAAUUUGCCCCGGACUAGUCCGUAACUCCUCCACCUGCAGGGGCAAAAGAGGCACGUUCCUUCUCGCUCCAUUGCUAUGAUGGGUUCACUUUGGACCUGCAACUCUGCGGGAAGGGGUAGGGGAGAAGCAGGGCGCUGCCUAAGGUUGGAGGCCUGCGUUAUCCGAUCACCUGAAUGGUUUGAGCUGUUUGAGAAUGGAUAUGGGGAGAGUUUUGAAGCAAAAUGGGUAGCCGUAUAAGCAAUCUUUUUGAGUUCGGAUUUUUAAUUGGCUACUUUAUAUCUCUUUUCACCUCAGUUGGACCUAUUCAGAUAUUUGGGGUCAAAUUGUAUGCUAGACCCGGUUUUCCUGAAGAUACUGAGAUGAACCAAACAUACAACAGUGCCUACCUUCGCGGAGCUUUCAGUUCAGUUGGGUUUAUAACGGUUUGUGAUUUUAUACCUUUGUGUAAUAAAAUAAUUGAACAGAUUACUUCAGAAUGCUGUGAAGUGUAAUGAAAGAGGGCCAACUCUGGAAUGAGACCCAAAGGAUGAGUAGGAGUUUGUCGCGAGAGAGCACAACACGUUUAAGGAACAGAAAAAGGCCAGUGUGCUGGAGCAGAAGUUAGAAAUGGGGUGAGUGACUUGAGAAGGGGAUAGUGGGCAGAUAUGAGGGGCCAUGAAAGCCAGGUUUAGGAGUUUGGCCUCUUAAGAACAAUGGGCAGCUUGAAGAGUUUGGAGGUGGGAAGGUGACAUGAAGGUAUAGUUACGUUUAAGGUGAGACAGUUCUGCUUGGAUCGGAGAGAGCAAAAGUGGAAGCCAAGAGAUCUUUGGAAUGCUACAGUAAUUCAUGUGAGAAAUAAUUGUAGCUUGGAGGUUAGAACGGAGAGGACUGGAUGAUGAGUUGGAUGUGAAGAAAGAGCAAGAAUGGCUUCCAGAGUACUGAAAAGGUUACAUUUACUGAGAUGAGAAAGAUGAACAGGUUUUAGAGGAUGACUGAAAAUUUCAUCUUGCGCCUGUUAAGUCUGAGAUUGCUUAUGAGACAUGGAAGUGGUGAUGUUGUCACUCAGGCAAUUGCAUUUGUGUGGGCUUUGAAUCCUUUUGCAUGUUAUCUCAAUUUUGUACAUACCUCGAAGAUGGGGGAAUUAACUCCCAUUUCAUAGAUUGGGAAACGGAGGCAAAGAACAGUGAAAGGGACUUGCUCAGAGACACACAGAUAGCUUAUAGCUUUUAAACCUCAUGUUCAAUGUCCAGUGUAUUUUAUCAUGCGGCAAUCUGGUUACCUGUAUUUCUGUGGGUUUAAGUCCCAGACUUAACUAAGGAAAGUUUUCUGGCCCCCAGCAAAGUGAAUUCCCAGUAAGGAAUCUUUUUAGGUUCUGUUUUGUAAUUUUCAGUGUAUGUUCACUCCUUACAUAAUAUUUACUGUACUCUUUGUGCCAUUCACUGUGCCUAGGGGCCUUCUUAAAGUAAACACUGUUUACUGACUAGAUGAUACCAUGUCCCAAGCUUUUCUCUGCUUCAUUCCCCUUGCCCUGGUUCUUAAUUUCUACACUAGGUUGCCUUGACCUAUCUUUCCUGUUGAUUUUUAUGUUUAUAGUGUUGAUUCAGAAUAUUGUUUUGAUGCUGAAAAGACCAAAGCAGCUUGAGAGCACAGUGCUAUUAGGUACAGAAUGAGGUAACUGGUUGCUAAUGUGGAGGCCAGUUCAAGUAGCCAAGGUGAAGAAGGCAGGCACGGGAUGGUUGUGGGAAGGUUUCGUGGAGGCUAUAUACCCUUUGACUCUAAUGGAAGUCAGUGGGGUGGUUAAAGGAAAGACUUCUGGAGCUAGGCAGCCUUAGGGUUAAACCCUGACUCUGCUCCUUUUCUUGGACAAGUCACUUCUUAAAUCUCACAAUCUUCUUAUCUGUAAAAUGGGAAUACUAACUAUUUUGAGGGACUGUUUUUAGAUUGAAUAAAUUGUGCUGUGUACCAUUCACAGCAAGCAUGUGUCAUCAGUGAAUGUUAGUUCUCUUUUUAGUUUCUCCUAAUUUGUUCUAGCCUUUUUCACUAUUUCCUGUACUCAUUUCUUGAGAACCUGUGACACUAUCAUUCUCCAGCUGAAAGUAAAGUUGAGAGACUAAAAUAAAGUUGGUAGAGCAGAUCCAAAGUACACUUCCUGGGGAUUUUUUUUUUCAGGGGUGGAAAGUGGGGAGUUAGUAAAAUAGUUCUUUGGGAUCUUUCCCCCUGCUUCAGUAGUUGGUGUGUUAAUUAUUGUUAGAAAUUUAGAACUGUUCAGAGUUGGGAGUUUGAAAUAUUGGGUAUUUAUAUACCCUAACUAUAGUAGUAGAAUGAAUGACUUUAAUAGUCACAUGUGUUUUCCCUUCCUUUGAUUCAUCAAAUAAUUCAUACAAAGUUUAUUAAAAAGAAACAAAAAUGUGCCUGGAAAAAUAAACAAGUUUAAAAAAAAUCUCUGGACUAGACUUUCUCUAAAGUGCUUACAACUUCAGGAAGUAGAGAUGGAGAUCAAUAAAGGAAUGUCUAGUCUUCCCUCAAGUUCCUGAUUCUAUUUAACCAUAAUGAAUUUGAGGAAUGCAGUUCUGUAGAUUCCAUCCUUUAAAGAAAUCUUAUAGUAAGUAAAACUCAAUGAAGAACACCUAAGCCAUAGUGGUGAAAUAUAAAACUCAAAAGGAUUUAAGAUUUGUGUAAAUUGACAUAAGGCAUAGGUGCUUAACUGGAGUACGUAUGUGUGUGAAAGUGACUUGAAAUGGGGAAGUGUAAGGUUAUCAUUUACUCCCCUGUGGACAUGUAGUGGUGAAAUGUAACACCAGUGGGAGGGGGAACUACAACUAAGAAAUGACAGCAGUUUCCUUUCUAGAUGACCUAAUAUCUACAGAAUUUGUAGUCUUGUUAAAUUAAGCAUAUAUUGACCAUCAAAUGCUUUACCCUAUAAUAAUGUCUAACUUUAAGAAAAUAAGAGAACUUUUUUCAUUCUUUCAGUUCUAGAAAAAAAAUGUUUAUGUUUAAGAAUCCUUAUUCUAGGGAGUACUCACUAGCUGGAGUAGGUCUUCCCAUAACAUGAAAGAAUAAUUAGCAGGGCAAGAUUGAGACAUGCCCUUGGACCACGUGGGAGGAGGUGAAUACUUAAUGUUUCUAGUGGUACCUUUUUUUGGUGCAAUAGAGAUAUUUGUAGGAUAGCUAGCCAGAAUCUUAAUCUUUUUUUACCUCUUUAAAUUUUUUAAUUUAAAUAUAGUUGAUAUAUAAUAUUGGUUUCAUGUGUACAAUAUAGUGAUUUGACAGUUAUACAUAAUACUAAGUGCUCACCACAAUAAGUGUAGUUGCCAUCUGUCAACAUACCACAGUAUUGUAAUAAUCCUGUAGAUAUUACAAUAUUAUUGACCAUAUUUCUCUAUAUAUGCUAAUCUUUUAGUUCAAUUCCAUAAAUACUGUGUACCAGUUUCCUGUCUAGAACUGGGAUGAGUGCAGAAAAAGUUUAGAGGUAGUGCAGUCUUUAAAUCUGCAGUGCCUUUUGGGGGAAAAAAGAUGUAGAGACACAGGAAUGUUAAACAGUUAACAGCAUAAAAGGAGAAGUAGCUGUUUCCAGGGCUGAGGCAGAAAUAAACUAGAUAAGUCUGGAACAGUUGUAUCAGUAAGAAAGGAAUUUAUUUAACAAAGACUACUGGGGUCUUUUUUUAAUUGAGGUAUAAUUGACAUACAUUUUAUUAGUUUCAGGUGUACAACAUAAUGAUCUGAUAUUUGUAUAUAUUGUGAAAUGAUCACUAUGAUAGUCUGGUUAACAUCCAUCACAUGUGGUUAUGGAACUUUUCUUGUAAUGAGAACUUUAAUAAGAUUUACUCUCUUGGCCACUUUCAAAUAUGCAAUAAGUAUUAAUACAGUUACCAUGUCAUACAUUGCCAAGACAUUUAUAACUGGAAGUUUGUACCUUUUGAUUCCCCCCCUUCACCCAUUUCUCCCACCCCCAUCCCUCCAUUCCCUCACCCCUGCCUCUGGCAACGAGUAAUCUGUUCCUUGUAUCUAUGAGCUUGGUUUUGUUACUGUAUUUAUUUAAGAUUCCACAUAAAAAUAAAAUCAUGUUGUCUUUAUUUGACUCUUCAAUACCCUGAGGGUCCAUCCAUGUUAUCACAAACGGCAAGAUUUCAUUCUUAUUUAUGGCUAAAUAAUAUUCCACUGUGGUGUGUGUAUAUAUUUAUGUGUGUAUUAUUUAUCCAUUAACGACCACUUAGGUUGUUCCCGUAUCUUGGUUAUGGUAAAUAAUGCUACAAUGAACAUAGGAGUGCAUGUCUUUUCAAAUAAGUGUUUUCAUUUUCUUUGGAUAAAUAACCAGAAGUGGAAUUGUUGGAUGAUGUAGUAUUUCUAUUUUUAAUUUUUUGAAGAGUCUCCAUAUUGUUUUCCAUAGUGGUUGCACCAAUUUACAUUCCCACCAGCAGUGCACGUCAGGGUUCCUUUUCUCUAGUCCUUGCCAAUGCUUGUUAUUAACUUCUUUUUGAUAACAGUUAUUCUAACUUGUGAGGUUUUGAUUUGCAUUUCCCUGAUGGUUAGUGAUGUUGAGCACUUUUUUAUGUACCUGUUGGCCAUCUGUAUAUCUUCUUUAAAAAUGUCUAUUCGGAUCAAAUGCUCAUGUUUUUUAUUGAAUUGUUUGUUUUUGCUAUUGAGUUGUACAAGUUCUUAUAUAAAGAUUGUGGAUAUUAACCCAUUAUCAGAUACAUGAUUUGCAAAUAUUUCCUCCAACUCAGUAGGUCGCCUUUUCAUUUUGUUAAGUUUCUUUUGCUGUGCAGAAGCUUUUUCGUUUGAUGUAAUUCCAUUUGUUUUUGCUUUUGUUUGUGGUGUCAAAUCCAAGAAGAGACCAAUUCUUUAA
Manis pentadactyla (Chinese pangolin) is the source of this 5242-nucleotide long non-coding RNA. RefSeq lists it as uncharacterized. NCBI's taxonomy places the organism in Eukaryota, Metazoa, Chordata, Mammalia, Pholidota, Manidae. The transcript is spliced from 2 exons. The record is from RefSeq and is a predicted model, not a curated record.